Molecule: long non-coding RNA, 207 nt
Filed under: Oryza brachyantha (malo sina)
Lineage: Eukaryota; Viridiplantae; Streptophyta; Magnoliopsida; Poales; Poaceae
Description: long non-coding RNA (OBRA_LNC002263)
Source: RNAcentral
AACAAGUAUUACUGAUUAUCACAUACAAGCUAGUUCUCCAUAUCCAUGUCAUUCCACACAGAGAAUGAAUCACAUGUUAGGUCUAGGAGGUUUCAGGAAAUAAUUGGAGACCCCAACGAGGGAUACAUGAACUAGAGUUAUGUCAGUAGUCAUCGUUGACUGAAACAUUCAAUCCGUAUUGCUUGUUCGGAGAUAAACUUGUAUGGG